GAUGAACGCUGGCGGCGUGCCUAAUACAUGCAAGUCGAGCGAACAGACGAGGAGCUUGCUCCUCUGACGUUAGCGGCGGACGGGUGAGUAACACGUGGAUAACCUACCUAUAAGACUGGGAUAACUUCGGGAAACCGGAGCUAAUACCGGAUAACAUGUUGAACCGCAUGGUUCAACAGUGAAAGACGGUUUUGCUGUCACUUAUAGAUGGAUCCGCGCCGCAUUAGCUAGUUGGUAAGGUAACGGCUUACCAAGGCAACGAUGCGUAGCCGACCUGAGAGGGUGAUCGGCCACACUGGAACUGAGACACGGUCCAGACUCCUACGGGAGGCAGCAGUAGGGAAUCUUCCGCAAUGGGCGAAAGCCUGACGGAGCAACGCCGCGUGAGUGAAGAAGGUCUUCGGAUCGUAAAACUCUGUUAUUAGGGAAGAACAAGUGUGUAAGUAACUAUGCACGUCUUGACGGUACCUAAUCAGAAAGCCACGGCUAACUACGUG
RNAcentral lists this ribosomal RNA (497 nucleotides) under uncultured bacterium. RNAcentral describes it as "partial 16S ribosomal RNA". It matches the Rfam family "Bacterial small subunit ribosomal RNA", at positions 28 to 507 of the family's 1533-position model. The record is from RNAcentral.